GACGAACGCUGGCGGCGUGCUUAACACAUGCAAGUCGAACGGAAAGGCCCUGCUUUUGUGGGGUGCUCGAGUGGCGAACGGGUGAGUAACACGUGAGUAACCUGCCCUUGACUUUGGGAUAACUUCAGGAAACUGGGGCUAAUACCGGAUAGGAGCUCCUGCUGCAUGGUGGGGGUUGGAAAGUUUCGGCGGUUGGGGAUGGACUCGCGGCUUAUCAGCUUGUUGGUGGGGUAGUGGCUUACCAAGGCUUUGACGGGUAGCCGGCCUGAGAGGGUGACCGGCCACAUUGGGACUGAGAUACGGCCCAGACUCCUACGGGAGGCAGCAGUGGGGAAUAUUGCACAAUGGGCGGAAGCCUGAUGCAGCAACGCCGCGUGCGGGAUGACGGCCUUCGGGUGGUAAACCGCUUUCGCCUGUGACGAAGCGUGAGUGACGGAAAUGGGUAAAGAAGCACCGGCUAACUACGU
Molecule: ribosomal RNA, 467 nt
Filed under: uncultured bacterium
Lineage: Bacteria
Description: partial 16S ribosomal RNA
Rfam family: Bacterial small subunit ribosomal RNA
Source: RNAcentral